AGUGAACGCUGGCGGUAGGCCUAACACAUGCAAGUCGAACGGCAGCACAGAGGAGCUUGCUCCUUGGGUGGCGAGUGGCGGACGGGUGAGGAAUACAUCGGAAUCUACUUUUUCGGGGGGGAUAACGUAGGGAAACUUACGCUAAUACCGCAUACGACCUACGGGUGAAAGCAGGGGACCUUCGGGCCUUGCGCGAUUGAAUGAGCCGAUGUCGGAUUAGCUAGUUGGCGGGGUAAAGGCCCACCAAGGCGACGAUCCGUAGCUGGUCUGGGAGGAUGAUCAGCCACACUGGAACUGAGACACGGUCCAGACUCCUACGGGAGGCAGCAGUGGGGAAUAUUGGACAAUGGGCGCAAGCCUGAUCCAGCCAUACCGCGUGGGUGAAGAAGGCCUUCGGGUUGUAAAGCCCUUUUGUUGGGAAAGAAAUCCAGCUGGCUAAUACCCGGUUGGGAUGACGGUACCCAAAGAAUAAGCACCGGCUAACUUCGUGCCAGCCGCCGCGGUAA
This 506-nucleotide ribosomal RNA is filed under the name uncultured bacterium. Its description in RNAcentral is "partial 16S ribosomal RNA". It matches the Rfam family "Bacterial small subunit ribosomal RNA", at positions 29 to 523 of the family's 1533-position model. The record is from RNAcentral.